RNAcentral lists this ribosomal RNA (723 nucleotides) under Triticum aestivum (bread wheat). RNAcentral describes it as "partial small subunit ribosomal RNA". Lineage: Eukaryota; Viridiplantae; Streptophyta; Magnoliopsida; Poales; Poaceae. The record is from RNAcentral.
AUGGCCAAGCAAGUGUAUGAGUGCAAUUGGGUUCCUUCUCGCGUCACAGAGGCUGAACUGGACGAUUUAGUCCUGAUUGGUGCUUUAGGCAGCAAAGAUAUCAUCCAUUGGAGGGCUCCUGGCAAAGAAUGCCCUCCCACACCUCGAGAAGGAGAGGUUGUUGUUUUCGUAGAUCACUUAGCCCGGGGCUUUAAACCGCCCGGUUCUAAAUUUUACCGAGAUGUUUUAGCCGAUUUCCAGCUCCAUCCACAAGAUACUGGCCCCAACUCUGUUACAAAUAUGUGUCACUUCCAAGUGCUCUGCGAAGCGUUCUUUCAAGAGGAGCCCACAGUGGAACUGUUCAGAGACCUAUUCCAUCUAAACCGUCGUACUGAAUUUACUGACGGCUCCAAUACGGAGUUGGGUGGCGUGGCGAUUCAGAAAAGGAAAGAGGUCACAUACCCUCACGCCAAACUACAUAGCCACCCCAAAGAAUGGAAUCAGACAUGGUUCUACUGCAAAGACACCUCCCCUGCUAGUGAGAAUCCCUUGCCUGGCUUUCGACCGGAGCGGCUCAGCAAUACACACCCUUCUCCACAAAGAUUGACUGCACAGGAGAGAAGUAAAUAUGCUCCUCAGCUAUCAAAGCUUAGAGCUUUUAUGGCCAACGGUUUACAGGGGUUGACCUUGCUCGCUGUUGGAUAUCAUGGAGCAUACUGCCUCUUAGUCAGCACUCCGGUUUGA